RNAcentral lists this ribosomal RNA (1346 nucleotides) under uncultured marine eukaryote. RNAcentral describes it as "SSU rRNA". It matches the Rfam family "Eukaryotic small subunit ribosomal RNA", at positions 411 to 1770 of the family's 1831-position model. The record is from RNAcentral.
CACUUCUAAGGAAGGCAGCAGGCGCGCAAAUUACCCAAUCCUGACUCAGGGAGGUAGUGACAAGAAAUAACAAUAAACCGGCUUAUGCCGGUUUAAUUGGAAUGAGUACAAUUUAAACAUCUUAACGAGGAACAAUUGGAGGGCAAGUCUGGUGCCAGCAGCCGCGGCAAUUCCAGCUCCAAUAGCGUAUACUAAAGUUGUUGCAGUUAAAAAGCUCGUAGUUGGAUUUCUGUGGGGACGGAGCGGCCGGCCGCACAUCGCGGUUCGAGCUAGCGCUUUCCCUACAUCCUGCCGCGAACCGUGCUACCAUUAGUUUGGUGGCGCCGGGGAUCGGCUCGAUUACUUUGAGAAAAAUAGAGUGUUCAAAGCAGGCCACAUGCCUUGAAUAAGUUAGCAUGGAAUAAUAACUAAGGACUUCGGUUCUAUUUUGUUGGUGUUCGGGACUGAAGUAAUGAUUGAUAGGGACAGUUGGGGCGGUCUGUAUUCCAAAGCGAGAGGUGAAAUUCUUAGACCUUCGGAAGACAAACAGCUGCGAAAGCGUUCCGCAAGGAUGUUCCCUUUGAUCAAGAACGAAAGUUGGGGGAUCGAAGACGAUCAGAUACCGUCGUAGUCUCAACUAUAAACUAUACCAGCUAGGGAUCGGCCAACGUUAUUUAUACCAACUUGGUCGGCACCUUAUGAGAAAUCAAAGCAUCUGGGUUCCGGGGGGAGUAUGGUCGCAAGGCUGAAACUUAAAGGAAUUGACGGAAGGGCACCACCAGCCGUGGAGCCUGUGGCUUAAUUUGACUCAACACGGGAAAACUUACCAGGUCCAGACAUAGUAAGGAUUGACAGAUUGAUAGCUCUUUCUUGAUUCUGUGGGUGGUGGUGCAUGGCCGUUCUUAGUUGGUGGAGUGAUUUGUCUGGUUAAUUCCGUUAACGAACGAGACCCCAGCCUGCUAAAUAGCGCGCGUGAGCUUUGCUCGCGGCGAGCUUCUUAGAGGGACUAUGAUGCGCGAUAGCACAUGGAAGUUUGGGGCAAUAACAGGUCUGUGAUGCCCUUAGAUGUUCUGGGCCGCACACGGGCUACACUGGCGCCUGCAACGAGCAUAUCAGCUGGCCCGAGAGGGUCUUGGCUAAUCUUUUGAACCGGCGCCGUGCUUGGGAUUGACCUUUGCAAUUGUUGGUCAUGCAACGAGGAAUGCCUUGUAAACGCGAGUCAUCAGCUCGCAUUGAAUACGUCCCUGCCCUUUGUACACACCGCCCGUCGCUCCUACCGAUGAAUGUUCCGAUGAAAUUUUCGGAGAGCACCUGUGAACUUGGCUCUGCCUUGCGAACGGGAGGCUCAAAGUCACUUAAAUCUGAAC